GUCUCUUGGAGACAUCGAUGAAAUUGAUACAAUACAGAGAAGAGAAGAUUAGCAUGGCCCUGCGCAAGGAUGAUUUCGAGUACCCGUAGGUGGUGAAAUUCCAC
Magnolia sinica is the source of this 104-nucleotide small nuclear RNA. Lineage: Eukaryota; Viridiplantae; Streptophyta; Magnoliopsida; Magnoliales; Magnoliaceae. The record is from RefSeq and is a predicted model, not a curated record.